RNAcentral lists this transfer RNA (65 nucleotides) under Paramarygmus sp. PAR01. RNAcentral describes it as "tRNA-Thr". Lineage: Eukaryota; Metazoa; Arthropoda; Insecta; Coleoptera; Tenebrionidae. The record is from RNAcentral.
GUUUUUAUAAUUUAACUCAAAAUAUUAGUCUUGUAAACUAAACAUAAGCACAACCUUUAAAAACA